This 880-nucleotide ribosomal RNA is filed under the name Philanthus solivagus. RNAcentral's name for it is "eukaryotic LSU rRNA". The stretch from base 378 to 880 matches the Rfam family "Eukaryotic large subunit ribosomal RNA", at positions 1 to 1049 of the family's 3401-position model. The record is from RNAcentral. Lineage: Eukaryota; Metazoa; Arthropoda; Insecta; Hymenoptera; Crabronidae.
AUGGGGGGAUUCAUCGUCAGCGGCUCUGGCCUCCCGUCUGCGCGUGAUGCCCCGACCACGGACCUUCGCGGUUCCGCGGCGAGGGCACGCCGUCUUCGGCGAAUGUCUAGAGUCGUAGUCGUGCACUUCUCCCCUAGUAGAACGUCGCGACCCGUUGAGUGUCGGUCUACGGCCCGGGUGGGCGCCUGCCUCGUCGUCUCGUACGCACGCGGCAGACCCUCGGUUGCCCGGCCGGCUGCUCGGCGGUACUCGCACGGUAUCGGGCCGCAACCAAUCCAUCUCGAAUGUGUUUGCGUCGGGCCCGCCGCAAGCUGGGUCAGAAACUCGGAGGUCGGACUUAGCGCCGUCCCCGGGACUGGCCAGCUGUUGGUUGGCGGUGUCCUCGGACUGGCCAAGCUUCGAAUUACCGGUCGGCGACGCUACUGCUUUGGGUACUCUCAGGACCCGUCUUGAAACACGGACCAAGGAGUCUAACAUGUGUGCGAGUCAUUGGGAUGGAAAAACCUAAAGGCGAAAUGAAAGUGAAGGUCGGCCUCCGCGUCGACCGAGGGAGGAUGGGCCGCGUUACGAUGCGGCUCCGCACUCCCGGGGCGUCUCGUUCUCAUUGCGAGAAGAGGCGCACCCAGAGCAUACACGUUGGGACCCGAAAGAUGGUGAACUAUGCCUGGUCAGGACGAAGUCAGGGGAAACCCUGAUGGAGGUCCGUAGCGAUUCUGACGUGCAAAUCGAUCGUCGGAACUGGGUAUAGGGGCGAAAGACUAAUCGAACCAUCUAGUAGCUGGUUCCCUCCGAAGUUUCCCUCAGGAUAGCUGGCACUCGCUCGAUCGAGUCUCAUCUGGUAAAGCGAAUGAUUAGAGGCCUUGGGGCCGAAACGACCUCA